AAGCGCUUGGAGCCAGACGUGCCCGUGGAUGCUCAGCCGGGAUCUCUUCCCGGCGCACUCUUCCGCGGGCAGGCCAGCAUCAGUCUGGGCGGUCGGAUAAAAGCCCGCUAAACGUACCUCCCCCUCAGGAGGACUUAUAGGGUGGGUGGCAUACGACCAGCCCAGAUUGAGGACCGCGCAUCUGCUAGGAUGCUGGCGCAAUGGCUGUAAGCGG
This 214-nucleotide ribosomal RNA is filed under the name Teichosporaceae sp. RNAcentral's name for it is "partial large subunit ribosomal RNA". Lineage: Eukaryota; Fungi; Ascomycota; Dothideomycetes; Pleosporales; Teichosporaceae. The record is from RNAcentral.